UAGGGAAUCUUCGGCAAUGGGGGGAACCCUGACCGAGCAACGCCGCGUGAGUGAAGAAGGUUUUCGGAUCGUAAAGCUCUGUUGUUAAGGAAGAACGAGUGUGAGAAUGGAAAGUUCAUGCUGUGACGGUACUUAACCAGAAAGGGACGGCUAACUACGUGCCAGCAGCCGCGGUAAUACGUAGGUCCCGAGCGUUGUCCGGAUUUAUUGGGCGUAAAGCGAGCGCAGGCGGUCAAUUAAGUCUGAUGUGAAAGCCCCCGGCUCAACCGGGGAGGGUCAUUGGAAACUGGUUGACUUGAGUGCAGAAGAGGAGAGUGGAAUUCCAUGUGUAGCGGUGAAAUGCGUAGAUAUAUGGAGGAACACCAGUGGAGAAGGCGACUCUCUGGUCUGUAACUGACGCUGAGGCUCGAAAGCGUGGGUAGCAAACAGG
RNAcentral lists this ribosomal RNA (430 nucleotides) under Bacteroidota bacterium. RNAcentral's name for it is "Bacteroidetes bacterium partial 16S ribosomal RNA". It matches the Rfam family "Bacterial small subunit ribosomal RNA", at positions 355 to 776 of the family's 1533-position model. Lineage: Bacteria; Pseudomonadati; Bacteroidota. The record is from RNAcentral.